This 492-nucleotide ribosomal RNA is filed under the name uncultured bacterium. RNAcentral describes it as "partial 16S ribosomal RNA". It matches the Rfam family "Bacterial small subunit ribosomal RNA", at positions 29 to 507 of the family's 1533-position model. The record is from RNAcentral.
AGUGAACGCUGGCGGUAGGCCUAACACAUGCAAGUCGAACGGCAGCACAGUAAGAGCUUGCUCUUACGGGUGGCGAGUGGCGGACGGGUGAGGAAUACAUCGGAAUCUACUUUUUCGUGGGGGAUAACGUAGGGAAACUUACGCUAAUACCGCAUACGACCUACGGGUGAAAGCAGGGGAUCUUCGGACCUUGCGCGAUUGAAUGAGCCGAUGUCGGAUUAGCUAGUUGGCGGGGUAAAGGCCCACCAAGGCGACGAUCCGUAGCUGGACUGAGAGGAUGGUCAGCCACACUGGAGCUGGGACACGGUCCAGACUCCUACGGGAGGCAGCAGUGGGGAAUAGUGGACAAUGGGCGCAAGCCUGAUCCAGCCAUACCGCGUGGGUGGAGAAGGCCUUCGGGUUGUAAAGCCCUUUUGUUGGGAAAGAAAAGCAGCAGGUUAAGACCCCGCUGUUCUGACGGUACCCAAAGAAUAAGCACCGGCUAACUUCGUG